GAAAUGCGAUACGUAAUGUGAAUUGCAGAUUUCAGUGAAUCAUCGAAUCUUUGAACGCACAUUGCGCCCGCUAGUAUUCUGGCGGGCAUGCCUGUUCGAGCGUCAUUUCAACCAUCAAGCCCCCGGCUUGCGUUGGAGCCCUGCGGCUGCCGCAGGCUCCCAAAUCCAGUGGCGGGCUCGUCGUCGUACCGAGUGCAGAACGGUUGGUU
This 209-nucleotide unclassified non-coding RNA is filed under the name uncultured Sordariales. RNAcentral's name for it is "sequence contains ITS1". The stretch from base 1 to 105 matches the Rfam family "5.8S ribosomal RNA", at positions 50 to 154 of the family's 154-position model. From Rfam's summary of the family: 5.8S ribosomal RNA (5.8S rRNA) is a component of the large subunit of the eukaryotic ribosome. It is transcribed by RNA polymerase I as part of the 45S precursor that also contains 18S and 28S rRNA. Functionally, it is thought that 5.8S rRNA may be involved in ribosome translocation. The record is from RNAcentral. Lineage: Eukaryota; Fungi; Ascomycota; Sordariomycetes; Sordariales.